RNAcentral lists this long non-coding RNA (207 nucleotides) under Malus domestica (apple). Its description in RNAcentral is "long non-coding RNA (MDOM_LNC002731)". Lineage: Eukaryota; Viridiplantae; Streptophyta; Magnoliopsida; Rosales; Rosaceae. The record is from RNAcentral.
AUUUGGUGAGGUUGUAAUCUGAAUCUCGUUUCCGCACUAACGAAUGGGCCAAGGCACAACAAUUGGUAUCAGAGCAUCGUUGGACGCUUGGUUCGUUGGAGGUCCAGAUUUGUUGUUCACCAUGGAAUUUUCAGUUGAGCAGUUUAAUGGGAAAGGCAGUUUUACUCUUGGUAAAAGAGAGUAAUGGAAGCCUGAAGAAAUGGAAGC